RNAcentral lists this ribosomal RNA (509 nucleotides) under uncultured Prevotella sp. RNAcentral's name for it is "partial 16S ribosomal RNA". Lineage: Bacteria; Pseudomonadati; Bacteroidota; Bacteroidia; Bacteroidales; Prevotellaceae. The record is from RNAcentral.
CACGGAAUUAGCCGGUCCUUAUUCAUGCAGUACCUGCAAAAAGGGACGCGUCCCUCACUUUAUCCCCGCAUAAAAGCAGUUUACAACCCGUAGGGCCGUCAUCCUGCACGCUACUUGGCUGGUUCAGGCUUCCGCCCAUUGACCAAUAUUCCUCACUGCUGCCUCCCGUAGGAGUUUGGACCGUGUCUCAGUUCCAAUGUGGGGGACCUUCCUCUCAGAACCCCUACUGAUCGUCGCCUUGGUGGGCCGUCGCCCCGCCAACUAGCUAAUCAGACGCAUCCCCCUCCGUUACCGACGGAUCUUUGCUUCGAAUCUGAUGCCGUCAUCGAAGAACAUGCGGUAUUAGUCUGCCUUUGGCAGGUUAUCCCGCAGUAACGGGAGUUGGAUACGCGUUACUCACCCGUGCGCCGGUCGACGUCCAUUCGGUGCAAGCACCCAAUGCCGUUUCCCCUCGACUUGCAUGUGUUAAGCCUGUAGCCAGCGUUCAUCCUGAGCCAGGAUCAAACUCU